RNAcentral lists this ribosomal RNA (738 nucleotides) under Vreelandella aquamarina. Its description in RNAcentral is "bacterial SSU rRNA". It matches the Rfam family "Bacterial small subunit ribosomal RNA", at positions 390 to 1120 of the family's 1533-position model. Lineage: Bacteria; Pseudomonadati; Pseudomonadota; Gammaproteobacteria; Oceanospirillales; Halomonadaceae. The record is from RNAcentral.
AGCCAUGCCGCGUGUGUGAAGAAGGCCUUCGGGUUGUAAAGCACUUUCAGCGAGGAAGAACGCCUGGUGGUUAAUACCCAUCAGGAAAGACAUCACUCGCAGAAGAAGCACCGGCUAACUCCGUGCCAGCAGCCGCGGUAAUACGGAGGGUGCAAGCGUUAAUCGGAAUUACUGGGCGUAAAGCGCGCGUAGGUGGCUUGAUAAGCCGGUUGUGAAAGCCCCGGGCUCAACCUGGGAACGGCAUCCGGAACUGUCAAGCUAGAGUGCAGGAGAGGAAGGUAGAAUUCCCGGUGUAGCGGUGAAAUGCGUAGAGAUCGGGAGGAAUACCAGUGGCGAAGGCGGCCUUCUGGACUGACACUGACACUGAGGUGCGAAAGCGUGGGUAGCAAACAGGAUUAGAUACCCUGGUAGUCCACGCCGUAAACGAUGUCGACCAGCCGUUGGGUGCCUAGCGCACUUUGUGGCGAAGUUAACGCGAUAAGUCGACCGCCUGGGGAGUACGGCCGCAAGGUUAAAACUCAAAUGAAUUGACGGGGGCCCGCACAAGCGGUGGAGCAUGUGGUUUAAUUCGAUGCAACGCGAAGAACCUUACCUACUCUUGACAUCCUGCGAAUUCGGUAGAGAUACCUUAGUGCCUUCGGGAACGCAGAGACAGGUGCUGCAUGGCUGUCGUCAGCUCGUGUUGUGAAAUGUUGGGUUAAGUCCCGUAACGAGCGCAACCCUUGUCCUUAUUUGCCA